GACGAACGCUGGCGGCGUGCUUAACACAUGCAAGUCGAACGGAAAGGCCCUGCUUUUGUGGGGUGCUCGAGUGGCGAACGGGUGAGUAACACGUGAGUAACCUGCCCUUGACUUUGGGAUAACUUCAGGAAACUGGGGCUAAUAACGGAUAGGAGCUCCUGCUGCAUGGUGGGGGGUGGAAAGUUUCGGCGGUUGGGGAUGGACUCGCGGCUUAUCAGCUUGUUGGUGGGGUAGUGGCUUACCAAGGCUUUGACGGGUAGCCGGCCUGAGAGGGUGACCGGCCACAUUGGGACUGAGAUACGGCCCAGACUCCUACGGGAGGCAGCAGUGGGGAAUAUUGCACAAUGGGCGGAAGCCUGAUGCAGCAACGCCGCGUGCGGGAUGACGGCCUUCGGGUUGUAAACCGCUUUCGCCUGUGACGAAGCGUGAGUGACGGUAAUGGGUAAAGAAGCACCGGCUAACUACGUG
This 468-nucleotide ribosomal RNA is filed under the name uncultured bacterium. RNAcentral describes it as "partial 16S ribosomal RNA". It matches the Rfam family "Bacterial small subunit ribosomal RNA", at positions 28 to 507 of the family's 1533-position model. The record is from RNAcentral.